GGACAGCAUUAUUGCCUUAUAAAAAAAAGGACAACAUUAUUUAUUGUGGGAUCAGUCACCCACAAUAUAAGGGGGAGAGAGACUGCAUAGGCUGAGCAUGCGUAUCCUUCCUGUUGAGCUUGCAACCCAUGACAAGUUUUGGAUCUUCUCUGGCUUAUGAUUCAUAUUUGAAUCAAAGAAAAUCAGUUGAGAUCAUCAAUUAUUUGUUACUCCAUAGUUUGUGAUUGAACCGGCCUGCAUGGACUGAGUACAUUAUAAUUAAGGAUGAUGGUGGCAAAGAAUUGAUCAAGUUUACUCAUUAUGUAGGUUGCAGUGCCGGGAC
This 322-nucleotide long non-coding RNA is filed under the name Elaeis guineensis (African oil palm). RNAcentral describes it as "long non-coding RNA (EGUI_LNC000453)". Lineage: Eukaryota; Viridiplantae; Streptophyta; Magnoliopsida; Arecales; Arecaceae. The record is from RNAcentral.